RNA transcript from Hyaena hyaena (striped hyena), 3340 nucleotides. It is a transcript of the gene named golgi associated kinase 1A, with no coding region annotated. The transcript is spliced from 10 exons. NCBI's taxonomy places the organism in Eukaryota, Metazoa, Chordata, Mammalia, Carnivora, Hyaenidae. The record is from RefSeq and is a predicted model, not a curated record.
CGCGGAGGCUCGCGGGUGCAGAAGGGCUCCUGCACCCCCAGACACGCAGCUUCCGCGUGCAUUCUCCCGGAGCUCCUCUAACAACCCCACCUGCGGAGCAUCCCCGAGCGCACUGCACACCCAGGAGUCGUGGCGCCACUUGGCUGCUGGGAAGCUGUGGACCUUCGGUCUGGGGAAACUCGCGUCUAGGGAAGCCUGGAGAGUCACGGAGCAAGUGGCGACCCCGGGGCGGUGGGAUGAGCCGGCGAGCCAGCUGAGAGAUCCCAGGAGCGGGUCCAGUCACUGUGGGCGCCAUGGCAUCCUGGCUCUGGAGAAAGCUGCGUGGCAAGAGGCGGCUGGUGAUGGCAUUCUGCCUCUUGAUGACUCUGUCUGUGCUGGCUGUCACUCGCUUCCCCCUAGAGCGUCCAGCGACCAGCCCAGACCCUGGUCCCAUGGAGCCCCAGGAGGUAACUGGUGCCCUUGGCCCCCACAACCUGCAGGCUCUGAGCUCCAGCUGGAGGCAGCAGGCAAGAGACCUAGGGCUCUGGAGAGGCUGGGCCUUGCCUCGGAAUUCCAUCCCGGUGUGUGCUGAGGGGCAAGGCCACAGAGGGCCUGUGGACCGAAGAAGGAAGUCCCUGAGAGGGGACAGUAGGCAUCCAGGGAGGGUCAGGAGGGACAUGACUUUGGCAUCUCUAGGAAAUUGGAGACUCAGUACCCAGCGUCUUGUGCUCCUGAGGGAGGAUGAGGUCAGGGGUCCAGGACCCAAAGACCUGGGUCCCCCCUGGCAUGACAGUCUAAUCAGAGAGGCACAGAAUGAGACUGGCACCCUGGAUGGCACCCUCGCAGGGCAGGGCAUGAUGGUUUUACAGGCUUGGAGAUCUACUGCUGGACUGAGCGUCAGGCCCCACCAAGCAGAAGGCAGCAAUCUGCCAGAAUGGACUGGUGGGCGACUGGCAGGGCUCCCCACCCCAGUUGCAGGGGCUCCUCAGUGGCCAGGCUCUGUUGGUGAGCUACAGAGAUCUGUCUGGUGCGAGGCUGAGAGCCCUGCUCCCCGGACGGGCUUGAGGACCGGUGAACAGGUCCCCCCGUGGCUCACAGAGCACGACGUGCAAGUGCUCCAGCUCUUGGCCCAGGGGAAGGUGGUGGGCAAAACCAGGGUCCCUGGCCACGGGCAGGUGCUGCAGGUUGGCUUCUCCAGUGAUGGGGCCUUUCUGGACGUGUCUUCUGGGCUCAGCCAUCUCUGCUCCCAGGGGCUCUGCGGCCUGAUCAAGAGGCCCGGGGACCUGCUUGAGGUCCUGGCCUUCCAUGUGGACCGUGUGCUAGGGCUGCGCCGAAGCCUGCCUGCCGUGGCCCGGAACUUCCGGAGCUCCCUGCUGCCCUACCGAUACACAGAUGGCAGCACAAGGCCUGUCAUCUGGUGGGCGCCUGAUGUGCAGCACCUGGGAGACCCAGACGAUGAUCAGAACUCUUUGUCCUUGGGCUGGCUGCAGUACCAGGCCUUGCUGGCACGUGGCUGUGGCUGGCCAAGCCAGGCCCCCUGCCUGGGCCUCCACCACGCUGAAUGGGCUCGCCUGGCACUCUUCGACUUCCUGCUGCAGGUCCAUGAUCGCCUGGACCGCUACUGCUGUGGCUUCGAGCCCGAGCCAUCAGACCCCUGCGUGGAAGAGGGGCUCCGGGAGAAAUGCCGGAACCCGGGUGAGCUGCGACUGGUCCACAUCCUGGUCCGGAGCAGUGAUCCGUCCCAUCUGGUCUACAUCGAUAAUGCCGGCAACCUUCAACACCCUGAGGACAAGCUAAACUUUCGCCUGUUGGAGGGCAUAGAUGGGUUUCCUGAGUCUGCCGUGAAGGUCCUUGCGUCAGGGUGUCUACAGAAUAUGCUGCUCACGUCACUGCAGAUGGACCCAGUGUUCUGGCAAAGUCAAGGUGGGAGACAGGGGCUGAAGCAGGUUCUCCGGACCCUGGAGCGGCGUGGACAGGUGCUGCUGGAACACAUCCAGAAGCACAACCUGACGCUCUUCAAGGACAAGGAUGCAGGACUGUACUUGAAUGCAAGAGCUCUGGGUUCAGAUCUGGCCAUGGCCACUUAAUAACUGACAAAUGGUUAUUGAGCCCCGGCUGGAAUAAUGAGAAAUGUUUACUGAGUGAUGAUGCCAGACGCCGUGACAGUGGCUUUCAUGGAUCAAGGCACACCUAACCUCACCAGGACUCGAUGGCAUCAUUUGCCAGAGGACCAUUUAUACCACAGACCCCGCAUAACACGAAGGAACAAGGGCCUCACCUCCACGUGUCCAGGUCACCGCUGAUACACUGACGGAGAGGCUUGGCCGGGCUGCAGACAUCUGCUCCAUUUUUCUGCACCACAAGGAAGGGUUCAUUUACUUCAUUUGCUGUGAAGCCCAGGAUGGCUUAUACCUGACGGAUGUCACCCUCGACCCUCGCAGGAGGAGCACGGGUUUUUGCAAGAACCGUGCUAGUGGGGGAAGGGAGUGCACGGACUCUUGACCACUGGAUGAGAGAAAAGCCAUGCUCCCUGCUCGGCCUCUAUCAACAGCACCCUGGCAGUGAGGUCAUUUGAAACAAUGGAUUUUAAAUCUAAGAAGAGGAUUCCUCCCAAAGAUGAGGACUGAGAUAGGACAUGCUGUCAUCUGUUGGCACCUUGCACCAGAGUCCGUCACCAACUCUCUACCUGGGCUUCCAAGUCAAGUGCAUUAAUAAAGGGCAGAGUGGACACUAUUUCCACCCAGUAUCCAUGUACCUUUACUCUUCCUAAUAAAACCUCAGGUCUGUUCAGAUAGCCACCCCUCCUCCUGACACCCAUGAGGUGCAGAGAAAGCCAAGAUCUACCUCCCACCUUCAGAGGGCUGGCCAGCAGAGAGCAAGCUUCUGGGGGCUGGGUGCUGGCCCAGCGCCGCCUGCUACCUGAGCAGAACCAAGCAGAAUGGAGGGAAGGAGUCACAUUCCACGCUCCCACCCACCUGACAGAAAAGCAGGUACUGUCCCAUGACCACUGCCUGCCAUCUGCUGACUGGCCUGACAACAAGGAUGGCACGAUGGAGGAGAGAUAGGAAGGACCCCGGUGGCAUCUCAGAGCUCUAUGACUUGGACUUCCUGCUGUAAACUUUCCUUAUUAUGGAAGCUGGUGUGGGCUGGGGUUUUGGUUUCUCUAAACUAAGAAUAAUUUAACUUUGUUGUUGUGCAUGAAGCAAACACAUGGGCGUCUGACCUGUGCCUUCUGUUUCUGAGCUGUGCUACUUGGCAUCAGUUUCCCCAUAACCCUUCUAACUUGGGUAAACAAAUCCCUCCAAGAAAUUCUUGUAUUAGAAAUUAGAAAAUAUGAGGGGUGCCUGGGUGGCUCUGUCGG